RNAcentral lists this transfer RNA (62 nucleotides) under Pollicipes polymerus. Its description in RNAcentral is "tRNA-Pro". The record is from RNAcentral. Lineage: Eukaryota; Metazoa; Arthropoda; Thecostraca; Pollicipedomorpha; Pollicipedidae.
CAGAAAAUAGUUUAUAAAAAAUAUAGGUUUUGGAAAUCUAUGAAGCUGAAAGGUUUUUCUGA